RNAcentral lists this ribosomal RNA (423 nucleotides) under uncultured bacterium. Its description in RNAcentral is "bacterial SSU rRNA". It matches the Rfam family "Bacterial small subunit ribosomal RNA", at positions 358 to 772 of the family's 1533-position model. The record is from RNAcentral.
GGAAUCUUCCACAAUGGGCGCAAGCCUGAUGGAGCAACGCCGCGUGAGUGAUGAAGGCCUUCGGGUUGUAAAACUCUGUCUUCUGUGACGAACAAGCCUGUGAGUGGAAAGCUCAGGCCCUGACGGUAACAGAGGCGGAAGCCACGGCUAACUACGUGCCCUCAGCCGCGGUAAUACGUAGGUGGCAAGCGUUGUCCGGAAUCACUGGGCGUAAAGCGCGCGCAGGCGGCGAUCUACGUCUGGGGUGAAAGCCCGGAGCUCAACUCUGGGACUGCCUUGGAUACGGGAUCGCUUGAGGAUUGGAGAGGCAAGGGGAAUUCCACGUGUAGCGGUGAAAUGCGUAGAUAUGUGGAGGAACACCUGUGGCGAAGGCGCCUUGCUGGCCAAUUUCUGACGCUGAGGCGCGAAAGCGUGGGGAGCAAA